This is a long non-coding RNA of Myripristis murdjan (pinecone soldierfish), 382 nucleotides long. RefSeq lists it as uncharacterized. The transcript has 4 exons. Lineage: Eukaryota; Metazoa; Chordata; Actinopteri; Holocentriformes; Holocentridae. The record is from RefSeq and is a predicted model, not a curated record.
UGAUGUCAUUUCCUGUCCCAUCAGAGCUGUGCUGUGAUUGGUCCUGAUGGGAGGUGAGAGGGGUUUAAAAGCAACUCAGCCUCUCUGCUCCGUUACCACGGUUACCACAGCACUACUGCAGGAUCACACACACACACACACACACACACACACAGAGGAGUGUGAUCGCCCAGGACAGCAGAAGUGAGUCAGGAUGAAGCUUCUGCUGCUUUUCUGUCUGCUGGGACUCAGCCUGACUGUCUCUGUCCACAGGAGACGAGUAGCAAGGUCAGACAGCUCUGAGGGAGAUGGGAGCGACUCCAAUGACGCCAGCGAUGAAGAGGAGGAGGAGGGAGGAGAUGACGAAGGCGACGAUGGAGGAGAUGAAGAGGAGGAGGAGGAG